UAAUAAACAGUUUUCGAAUGAUGAAAAAAAAAAUAAUGGUAUAAAAUACUCAGUAACCAGUAAGCAAAAUUUCAAUGGAGGCAUUCUGCUCACUGUGCUUAUAGAUUUCUGGAGGCUCUGGCUGUAGCAUAUGACUUGUUUCUGGACCAAGAGGGCUGACUCCAGAGAAGGUGUAAGAGCCGUGAGUUGCACACCAGUGAUUCCCUCCACUAUGCAGUGCUGCCUCCUAUGCAGGAGAAGCAGUACAGUGUGGUGAAGCUUUGAAGCCUAGAUUCAAG
RNAcentral lists this long non-coding RNA (278 nucleotides) under Canis lupus familiaris (dog). Its description in RNAcentral is "lncRNA (ENSCAFG00845024236.1)". The record is from RNAcentral. Lineage: Eukaryota; Metazoa; Chordata; Mammalia; Carnivora; Canidae.